Molecule: non-coding RNA, 814 nt
Filed under: Macrostemum floridum
Lineage: Eukaryota; Metazoa; Arthropoda; Insecta; Trichoptera; Hydropsychidae
Source: RNAcentral
UAAAAUUUAUUUUAUAUUUAAUUUAUAUAUAUAUAAUAUUAUGUAUGUUAAUUAUAUUUAAAAAAUAUAUUAAAAUUAAUAUUAAUUUAAUUUUUAAUUUUAAAUAUCAAAUAACUUUGAAAUUAGUAAUAUAUAUAUAUAUUAUAAAUAAAUAUUGUGCCAGCAAUUGCGGUUAGACUUUAUUAUAAAAGUAAAUAUAAAUUAAUUAAUAUAUAUAUAUAUAUAUAUAUAAAUAUAUAAUUUAAAUUUUUAGAUGAAAUUAUUUAAAUUUAAUAUAAUAUAACUUAUUUAUAGAUAUAUAAAGGAAUUAAAAUAAACUAGGAUUAGAUACCCUAUUAUAAAUUUAAUAAAUAUAUUAAUUAUAUUAGUAAUUUAAUAAAAUGAAAUUUAAAGAAUAUGGCGGUAAUUUAAUCAAUUUAGAGGAAUUUGUAUUAUAAAUGAUAAUCCACGAUUUAAUUUACUUAUAAUUAUUUGUAUAUCGUUGUUAAAAAUUUAUUUUUAUUAAGUUGUAUAAUUAAUUUUAAUAAUUAAAUAAAUAUAUCAAAUCAAGAUACAGUUAUAUUUAUAAGAUAUCUAAUAUGAAUUACAAUUAAUAUAUUUAAAUAUUAAUUAAUAAAUUUAAAAUUAUUAAAUUAAAAGGAUUUAAAAGUAAUUUUAUAAAAUUAUUUAAAAUAAAUAAAGUUUUAAAUUAUGUACAUAUUGCCCGUCGCUCUAAAUAAUUAAUAGUUAGUGAUUAUAUUAUUAAAUUUUAGAUAAGUCGUAACAUAGUAGAAUUAUUGGAAAAUGAUUCUAGAUGAAUAUAUAUAUAUAUAUA